Molecule: transfer RNA, 78 nt
Filed under: Trichocoleus sp. FACHB-591
Lineage: Bacteria; Bacillati; Cyanobacteriota; Cyanophyceae; Leptolyngbyales; Trichocoleusaceae
Description: tRNA-Met
Rfam family: tRNA
About the family: Transfer RNA (tRNA) molecules are approximately 80 nucleotides in length.
Source: RNAcentral
UGCGGGGAUGGAGCAACGUCGGCUCGAAAGGCUCAUAACCUUUACAUCAGUGGGUUCAAUUCCCACCCCCGUCACCCA